UACUUCUACAACAGGAGAAAAGGCUAGCAACCCCAAACAAGAAUGGGAGAUGCUGUCAGGACACACAGCCUGUAUCUGCUUAAGACACUGCACUUUGUGCUUGUGCUUACAAACACCACACUUU
Manis pentadactyla (Chinese pangolin) is the source of this 124-nucleotide small nuclear RNA. The record is from RefSeq and is a predicted model, not a curated record. Lineage: Eukaryota; Metazoa; Chordata; Mammalia; Pholidota; Manidae.